UACGGAGGGUGCGAGCGUUAAUCGGAAUUACUGGGCGUAAAGGGUGCGUAGGUGGUGGAGUAAGUUAUCUGUGAAAUUCCUGGGCUUAACCUGGGGUGGUCAGAUAAAACUGCUUUACUUGAGUAUGGGAGAGGGUAGUGGAAUUUCCGGUGUAGCGGUGAAAUGCGUAGAGAUCGGAAGGAACACCGGUGGCGAAGGCGGCUACCUGGCCUAAUACUGACACUGAGGCACGAAAGCGUGGGGAGCAAACAGG
Molecule: ribosomal RNA, 253 nt
Filed under: uncultured bacterium
Lineage: Bacteria
Description: partial 16S ribosomal RNA
Rfam family: Bacterial small subunit ribosomal RNA
Source: RNAcentral